Unclassified non-coding RNA from Aotus nancymaae (Ma's night monkey), 307 nucleotides. Its record names the gene 7SK. It matches the Rfam family "7SK RNA". From Rfam's summary of the family: 7SK was discovered as an abundant small nuclear RNA in the mid-70s but a possible function has only recently been suggested. Two independent studies have found that 7SK RNA binds the CDK9/cyclin T complex (known as elongation factor P-TEFb). NCBI's taxonomy places the organism in Eukaryota, Metazoa, Chordata, Mammalia, Primates, Aotidae. The record is from Ensembl.
GGCUGUGAGGGCAAUCUGGCUGUGACGUCUGUCACGCUGUUGAUCACCAGGGUUGAUCCGGCUGAUCUGGCUGGCUAGGCGGGUGUCCCCUUCCUCCCUCACCGCUCCAUGUAUGUCCCUCCUGAAGUUGCGCCCUCUGUCAAAGAGAAUGACCAUCCCCAGUAGAGGAGGACUGGUCUUCGGUUGGGCUAUAUGAGUAGCUGCACUCCCCGGCUAGAACUCCAAACAAGCUCUCAAGGUCCUGGAUAGCUGGUACUAUAGGCACACGCCAUCAUACUUCACUAUCAUUCCCUUCUCAAUUAAAGAU